This 483-nucleotide ribosomal RNA is filed under the name uncultured bacterium. Its description in RNAcentral is "partial 16S ribosomal RNA". It matches the Rfam family "Bacterial small subunit ribosomal RNA", at positions 30 to 506 of the family's 1533-position model. The record is from RNAcentral.
AUUGAACGCUGGCGGCAGGCCUAACACAUGCAAGUCGAGCGGAUGAAGGGAGCUUGCUCCUGGAUUCAGCGGCGGACGGGUGAGUAAUGCCUAGGAAUCUGCCUGGUAGUGGGGGAUAACGUCCGGAAACGGGCGCUAAUACCGCAUACGUCCUGAGGGAGAAAGUGGGGGAUCUUCGGACCUCACGCUAUCAGAUGAGCCUAGGUCGGAUUAGCUAGUUGGUGGGGUAAAGGCCUACCAAGGCGACGAUCCGUAACUGGUCUGAGAGGAUGAUCAGUCACACUGGAACUGAGACACGGUCCAGAAUCCCACGGGAGGCAGCAGUGGGGAAUAUUGGACAAUGGGCGAAAGCCUGAUCCAGCCAUGCCGCGUGUGUGAAGUAGGUUUUCGGAUUUUAAAGCACUUUAAGUUGGGAGGAAGGGCAGUAAGUUAAUACCUUGCUUUUUUGACGUUACCAACAAAAUAAGCACCGGCUAACUUCGU